RNAcentral lists this ribosomal RNA (766 nucleotides) under Bacillus subtilis. RNAcentral's name for it is "bacterial SSU rRNA". It matches the Rfam family "Bacterial small subunit ribosomal RNA", at positions 49 to 797 of the family's 1533-position model. Lineage: Bacteria; Bacillati; Bacillota; Bacilli; Caryophanales; Bacillaceae. The record is from RNAcentral.
CUAUACAUGCAAGUCGAGCGGACAGAUGGGAGCUUGCUCCCUGAUGUUAGCGGCGGACGGGUGAGUAACACGUGGGUAACCUGCCUGUAAGACUGGGAUAACUCCGGGAAACCGGGGCUAAUACCGGAUGCUUGUUUGAACCGCAUGGUUCAGACAUAAAAGGUGGCUUCGGCUACCACUUACAGAUGGACCCGCGGCGCAUUAGCUAGUUGGUGAGGUAACGGCUCACCAAGGCGACGAUGCGUAGCCGACCUGAGAGGGUGAUCGGCCACACUGGGACUGAGACACGGCCCAGACUCCUACGGGAGGCAGCAGUAGGGAAUCUUCCGCAAUGGACGAAAGUCUGACGGAGCAACGCCGCGUGAGUGAUGAAGGUUUUCGGAUCGUAAAGCUCUGUUGUUAGGGAAGAACAAGUGCCGUUCAAAUAGGGCGGCACCUUGACGGUACCUAACCAGAAAGCCACGGCUAACUACGUGCCAGCAGCCGCGGUAAUACGUAGGUGGCAAGCGUUGUCCGGAAUUAUUGGGCGUAAAGGGCUCGCAGGCGGUUUCUUAAGUCUGAUGUGAAAGCCCCCGGCUCAACCGGGGAGGGUCAUUGGAAACUGGGGAACUUGAGUGCAGAAGAGGAGAGUGGAAUUCCACGUGUAGCGGUGAAAUGCGUAGAGAUGUGGAGGAACACCAGUGGCGAAGGCGACUCUCUGGUCUGUAACUGACGCUGAGGAGCGAAAGCGUGGGGAGCGAACAGGAUUAGAUACCCUGGUAGUCCA